Molecule: unclassified non-coding RNA, 336 nt
Filed under: soil metagenome
Description: partial contains 5.8S ribosomal RNA, internal transcribed spacer 2, and large subunit ribosomal RNA
Rfam family: 5.8S ribosomal RNA (bases 1-120)
Source: RNAcentral
GAUGAAGAACGCAGCGAAAUGCGAUAAGUAAUGUGAAUUGCAGAAUUCAGUGAAUCAUCGAAUCUUUGAACGCACAUUGCGCCCGCCAGUAUUCUGGCGGGCAUGCCUGUUCGAGCGUCAUUUCAACCAUCAAGCCCCAGGCUUGUGUUGGGGACCUGUGGCUGCCGCAGGCCCUGAAAACCAGUGGCGGGCUCGCUGUCACACCGGGCGUAGUAGAUUUUAUCUCGCUCAGGGCGUGCUGCGGGUUCCGGCCGUUAAAAAGCCUUUUUUACCCAAGGUUGACCUCGGAUCAGGUAGGAAUACCCGCUGAACUUAAGCAUAUCAAUAAGCGGAGGA